ACGAACCGUACGAACGUUAUUCGGAAUCACUGGGCUUAAAGGGUGCGUAGGCGGUCCGGUAAGUUGGGUGUGAAAGCCCUCGGCUCAACCGAGGAAUUGCGCCCAAAACUGUCGGACUUGAGGGAGACAGAGGUGGGCGGAACUUAGGGUGGAGCGGUGAAAUGCGUUGAUAUCCUAAGGAACACCAGUGGCGAAAGCGGCUCACUGGGUCUCUUCUGACGCUGAGGCACGAAAGCUAGGGGAGCGAACGG
RNAcentral lists this ribosomal RNA (251 nucleotides) under uncultured prokaryote. Its description in RNAcentral is "partial 16S ribosomal RNA". It matches the Rfam family "Bacterial small subunit ribosomal RNA", at positions 525 to 775 of the family's 1533-position model. The record is from RNAcentral.